GUUAAAUUGCUGCGGUGCACAUAAGACAUAGUCAAGUACGACGGAAAUACGUUAUUAAUGGAAUAAGAUUAUACUGAAUAAGUUAAUAACAAUGAUUUAGUGCGGACUGGUGAGUAACACGUAAGCAACCUGCCUAUUAGAGGGGAAGUAACAGUGAGAAAUCACUGCUAAUACCGCAUAAGCUGACAAUACCGCAUGGUAUAGUCAGAAAAGGAGAAAUCCGCUAAUAGAUGGGCUUGCGUCCGAUUAGCUAGUUGGUGGGGUAAAGGCCUACCAAGGCAACGAUCGGUAGCCGAGCUGAGAGGCUCAACGGCCACAUUGGGACUGAGAUACGGCCCAGACUCCUACGGGAGGCAGCAGUCGGGAAUAUUGCACAAUGGAGGAAACUCUGAUGCAGUGACACCGCGUAUAGGAAGAAGGUUUUCGGAUUGUAAACUAUUUUAGACAGGGAAGAAAAAAGACAGUACCUGUAGAAUAGGCUCCGGCUAACCACGUG
RNAcentral lists this ribosomal RNA (496 nucleotides) under uncultured bacterium. RNAcentral's name for it is "bacterial SSU rRNA". It matches the Rfam family "Bacterial small subunit ribosomal RNA", at positions 39 to 507 of the family's 1533-position model. The record is from RNAcentral.